RNAcentral lists this long non-coding RNA (4204 nucleotides) under Canis lupus familiaris (dog). RNAcentral describes it as "lncRNA (ENSCAFG00805002489.1, ENSCAFG00845011966.1)". Lineage: Eukaryota; Metazoa; Chordata; Mammalia; Carnivora; Canidae. The record is from RNAcentral.
CUAUCUUGACUCCCCAUCCCUCCUACUCCUUUAUAUCAGGUAUAUUUUGACUUUUACAUUAAUAGAUUCUUCAACAGAUAGAAUCUCACUACAUGUAUCUGUUUCCCUCUGCCCCCACUUCCAUUUUUUGUUCCACUGCUAAAACCUGCCUUCCAUAGGAUCUGUUGACUCUCAACCCAAAACUUUCUCCACUGGGCAGACGGCUCCCUCAUCCCCUGCCCCUAGUUCUAGACUGUCACCCUUCUCUGCCUCUCAUCAGUCAAUUAACUCUUAAACACUUUGCACCUUCCAGAAACAUGUUAAAAUCUCUCAUUCUUUGUAAACCUCAGUUCUAUUCUCUUCCCUGCUAUGGGUUUAUUCCUUUUGGUAUUUCUAGAUUUUAAUUUUGGUUGAUCUGGGGAGUAAUGGGAGGCAAAUGUGUGCACCUGGUCCAUCUCCAAUGACACAGAUGUCACUUUAUAGAGCAAAGGACUGUAUAUUCAUUGUUGUUUUGCAUCUCUGUUUCAAUUCCCUCUUAAUUAUGUUUGUUCUACUUUUUCCUAUUUGAAGACUAUUCUUGAGAGAAUAUGCAUUAAGCAAUUUUUCUUUCCUUUGCCAUUAGUUUAUAACAUGCUAUUCUUCUUGUAUUACACUUUGAUAAAAUCUACCUUAUUUCUACUGAAGAAGUGUUUUUUCACACACCUCAGCUCAUUCUAUCUAUAAUUCCUGGAUGUUUAUCCCACUCUUGGGUAUUUAGCUUUCACCAUACUUCAACCUCUCCUUUCACUUCGAACCUUAACUUUCAAAAACCAAAGUAAAACCUCCUUUUCAAAAGUAAGUAAAAAUAAAAGAUUGAGUAUCUCAUUUCCAAAGACAGCAACUCUGCUGCUCUAUAAACCAGUGCCUAAGGGAGUCAGCUUUUAAACUUUUAGUCCUCUGUGGUGUGACUAUAUAUAGCUCCAUGGUUACGAUAUCAGCUUUGGAAUGGGAUUGACUGUAUUCAAAUCCUGCCCUGCCACUUACUUGGUUGCAAUCUCCAGAAGUCACCAUAUGGCAGAAGUUAGUGAACCAUUCUCCAAAUCCUUUCCCCUUUCCUCCUGGAGAUAUGACCAGACUCUCUUUCUUAGCCUCCUUUGUAGUUAAGAGUAACCAUGAGAUUGAGUUCUGGCCACUGGAAUGUGGGUGGGAAUUCUGGUCCAUAAAAACCGCAGAAUCCUCCAUUAUCUCAAUCACCCUGGCUGCUAGCCUGACAUGAAUGUCCAGGACAACUUUGGAAGCCAUGUGUUGAAGACAGCAGGGCCUCUUCCAUCCAUGCAUGGAGUAGAAACUUCAUCCCACUCUCCACUGGGGCUGCCAAUGGGAUUUCACAUGAUUAAGAACUAACCUUUGUGUGAUUAAGGAAUCAGCUUCCCUUUUGUGAGUCCAAUGAGAUUUCAGGUUUACGUUACAGCAGUUUUACCCUAACCAAUAUACUUAGCUACUUAACUUCUCUAAACUUCACUUGCCUCUUCAGGUUAAUUCUAGCACCUACCUUCAAUAGUGCUGUUAAGAAGAUUAGAAGAGAAGCAAUUAAUACAAAGAACGCUAAUGCACAGUCCCUGGUUAAAAGUAAGAACACAAAAAAGAUUCAUUACUAUUAUUCUGUGAAGUCUGUUAUUAAUUACUGCUGUUAUGUUUGAUGCAAUAGAAGGCUCUUGCACACAUUAAAAUGCCUAUUCCUUGCUGCCUGAAAUUCCACCAUUCUUUUCUGUAAAUCAACGUCCUCUCCUUUAAAGAGUAACUUCCCCAACUUUAAUUAUAAAAUAAACAUGUUUAUAUGCUUAAUGCAAAAAUUGUGUAUAUAAUACAGAACUUAUAAAGAACAGACUAUUGAUCAUCCAUAAUCCUAUCAUCCAGAGGUAAUCACUGCUAGGAUUUUAGCAUAUGCCUUCUUCUUCUUUAUCUAUUAUUACAAAUAUGCAUAUAUGUAAUACACAUAUACAUUUAUAAAUCAAACAGGGAUAAUACUAAACAUAGUAUUCCACCAAACAUUUUAUCUUGAACAGUCCCUCAUAUGUUCAAACAUACUUUGAGAAGAUGAUGUUUUAUGGGUGCUUAUUGGUGUAUAAAAAGUUAUUUAACUAUUGUAUGGAUAUAUCACACUUUAUUUAACCAUUCCUUUCAUGUGGCAUAUUUUUGUUGCUUCUAUCAGAAUAAAUAAUCUAUGUAGGAUAAACCUCCUUGUACAUGAAAUCUUUACCUCUCUGAUUAUUUACCCUUUCUGCUUUUAUUUUCCUUUAUUUUGACUUCCAAAAAAAAAAUUUAACCCCUCAAAUGAUAGAAAAACUGACACUUAUUUCAUUGUGAUUUAUAUUUUAUCUUUCCUACUUUUUUGUGUGUGGUUUUAAAAGCAAAAAUGCACUGGAAAAGCCCACAUAUCUUUCCCUGAAGGCCUCCUACUAAUAUGUUUAUCAGAUUGUUUUAUUUGCAGAAAGACUAGGCUGUACCUAUAUUGUGAAAGUUAGAGUUAAAAGGAAUUCUGAAAGGACGAAAGAGACAGGAAGUGGAAGACUGAAGAUAAAAUCUCUGCCUAUCUCACAAUUUACACGUGAAGGGAUAUCUCCUCUUCUCCUGUUGUCCCAACCAUCACCAGUAGAUGAGCUACUAUAUUACCUCCUUUUUAUACUAAGCCAGGUGCAAAAAGAACGUGAAAUGUUAAAAAGAGAGGAUCUUGCUUAAUUAAGUUUUUGCUGAGCAUAUAGAUAGCAUUAAGAGUAAGAGUAAACAAUAGCAUCAGUGAAAUAUAAUCCUUGCAGGGCCUCCUGUUUAUUGAAUGGCUUGGGUCAAUGUCAGCAGAUAAAUUAAUAAUGACUCCAGCUUCUUCUGUCUCUGGCAGCUAAAUCAAUGCCCAUAUCAAGGAGAUGCAAUAUUUCUCCACUACAUGUAUCUUGGCAAAAUGGUUGAAAAUAUGUAGGAAUACAGUUUUCAUCCUUCUCGGAAGGUUUCUAUAAGUUGCAAUUUUCUAUUCCCACAGCUGGAGUGAACCACGUGAGUUCGCAACUGGUUUGGUGUAUGCAACAGAGUUGUUACCUAAGGUGAAUGCUCUUCUACCUCAUUUGCAUUUACUUCUGAAUUGUUAUCUAUCCUCUUGGGUGAAGGUCUAGUCACAGAUAUUUGCUGAAAUUAUUAUGUAGCUCUGCUUUCCCCUCAGGCUUCUAUCAAAGUGCAACAUUAAAAUGACGGACAUACAUCUGUCUUUCUUUCUUCACAAAGAAUGGUCAUUCUCAAUAACAUCCUCUUCAAAUAAAAAGGGCAACAGUGUGAAGUACAACCAGGAUUCCAGCAGGAAACAGAUGGCACACUCAGGUUAGAAUAAUUCAUGGAGGAUUCAAUGAAGGGACUAUUCAUAAAGGUGUGGGCAGGGUGUAGGGAAACCACAAGUGAUAGAAUGACACUCCAAGUCUAGUAAAAGGUGGGACAGUGAGCAGCCCUAGGUGGGAGAGGCCAGUUACCAGACCCAGGAAAGAUAGAAUUAUGUGGAAAUGUCUGUGUUGACUUUUGAUAGAGGGAUGCUGCCAGCUGUGGGUGACCUGUGUGGUAGGAGUAUAAGAAAUAAAUACUUGGACUUCAUUCUCCUUUAUCUCUUGAUUUCCUGCUGGGAUUCACAUUGGUAGAACCCAACCAGAAGCCCAAGUGGAAUAGCCCAUACAAGUCAGUCUUCCAGGGUAGUGAGUGGGAGAGGAAAGGGAAGAAGAAUGUACACGGAGACACAUGGGAGAUAGCUGGCAUAGCUGGCAAGGGGGGAAAGACUAAGGGUUUUGCUUGCAUGUGCCACUGUAAGACAUCUAUUAGACAUCAAGAGGAGGUGUGAGGUAGGCAGCUGCAUCUAUGACUGCAGUUCAGGCCGAGGCCUGAGCUGGAAAUAUACGCUUGGGACCCAGAACAUAGAUGCUUUUUAAAGCAAUAAGACUCAUGGUAGUCAUGAAGGGGCAUGGGGAGACUUAAGGACCAUGGGUAGAUACCUGAGAGGGUGGACAGAAAGGAAUACUCAAGAGUGUGGAAGCUGGAAGGCUCCUGGAGAUGAGCAAAUAGUGAGCAUGGAGGGCCAGGAGGGACCAAGUGCCAGAGUGCCAGGCAUCCCAUGGGUCGACUUGGAGGAAACGUGAGCCCCGGCAUCUGGGGAUCUGUCUGUGUUGCAGUGGGGCCUAAGGCCAGGGCCUGACUGCAGAGCAUGUGCCAGAGAACG